GACGAACGCUGGCGGCGUGCUUAACACAUGCAAGUCGAACGGAAAGGCCCUGCUUUUGUGGGGUGCUCGAGUGGCGAACGGGUGAGUAACACGUGAGUAACCUGCCCUUGACUUUGGGAUAACUUCAGGAAACUGGGGCUAAUACCGGAUAGGAGCUCCUGCUGCAUGGUGGGGGUUGGAAAGUUUCGGCGGUUGGGGAUGGACUCGCGGCUUAUCAGCUUGUUGGUGGGGUAGUGGCUUACCAAGGCUUUGACGGGUAGCCGGCCUGAGAGGGUGACUGGCCACAUUGGGACUGAGAUACGGCCCAGACUCCUACGUGAGGCAGCAGUGGGGAAUAUUGCACAAUGGGCGGAAGCCUGAUGCAGCAACGCCGCGUGCGGGAUGACGGCCUUCGGGUUGUAAACCGCUUUCGCCUGUGACGAAGCGUGAGUGACGGUAAUGGGUAAAGAAGCACCGGCUAACUACGUG
This 468-nucleotide ribosomal RNA is filed under the name uncultured bacterium. RNAcentral's name for it is "partial 16S ribosomal RNA". It matches the Rfam family "Bacterial small subunit ribosomal RNA", at positions 28 to 507 of the family's 1533-position model. The record is from RNAcentral.